UACGACCUACGGGGCGCAGCAGUAGGGAAUUUUCGUCAAUGGGCGCAAGCCUGAACGAGCAAUGCCGCGUGAAUGAGGAAGGUCUUCGGAUCGUAAAGUUCUGUUGAAGGGGAAAAAGAGCGGAGAGAGGAAAUGGUCUCCGAUUGAUAUUACCCUUCGAGGAAGUCACGGCUAACUACGUGCCAGCAGCCGCGGUAAUACGUAGGUGGCGAGCGUUAUCCGGAUUUAUUGGGUUUAAA
RNAcentral lists this ribosomal RNA (239 nucleotides) under uncultured bacterium. RNAcentral describes it as "partial 16S ribosomal RNA". It matches the Rfam family "Bacterial small subunit ribosomal RNA", at positions 333 to 564 of the family's 1533-position model. The record is from RNAcentral.